CCUACGGGAGGCAGCAGCUAAGAAUCUUKCGCAUGGGCGAAACCCUGACGCAGCAUUCCGCGUGGAGGACGAAGGCCCUCGGGUCGUAAACUCCUUUUGCGAGGGAAGAAGUUCUGACGGUACCUCGCGAAUAAGCCACGGCUAACUACGUGCCAGCAGCCGCGGUAAUACGUAGGUGGCGAGCGUUGUCCGGAUUUAUUGGGCGUAAAGAGCCCGCAGGCGGCUUGGCAAGUUUCGAGUGAAAUCUCCCGGCUCAACUGGGAGGGCGCUCGGAAAACUGCCAGGCUUGAGGCAGGGAGAGGGAUGUGGAAUUCCCGGUGUAGUGGUGAAAUGCGUAGAUAUCGGGAGGAACACCAGUGGCGAAGGCGGCAUCCUGGCCCUGUCCUGACGCUCAGGGGCGAAAGCGUGGGGAGCAAACCGGAUUAGAUACCCGGGUAGUCCACGCCGUAAACGAUGAGUACUAGGUGUAGGGGGUAUCGACCCCCUCUGUGCCGAAGCCAACGCGAUAAUACUCCGCGUGGGACUACGCCGCAAGGCUAAAACUCAAAGGAAUUGACGG
This 559-nucleotide ribosomal RNA is filed under the name uncultured bacterium. Its description in RNAcentral is "bacterial SSU rRNA". It matches the Rfam family "Bacterial small subunit ribosomal RNA", at positions 338 to 916 of the family's 1533-position model. The record is from RNAcentral.